ACUUGAAUUCUGUCACAUGCUGGGCAAAGGUGUCUGCAUGACUGGCCCCCAGUAAAAACCCUGGGCAGAAACAGGCUGGGUGGUGGUGGGCAUGAGAUGCUGUGUGACCAACAGGGAGGGAGCCUAGAAUGUCUGUAGUGGAUUUCCCAGGAUCCAGUUAUAUGUCCUUCUGCGUGGCUGUAAUAAAUGCAGGCCAUGUGCACAAAGAUACCCUGAGUCCCCUGAUUCCUUCUAGCCAAUCUUCAACCCUGGAGUGGUCUUGCAACCCGGCAGAGCCAUGCUGUACUCAGUAUGCAGACAGUGAUAACGGGCCAGCCGUGACCUGGAGCCAAGGCCACCCCAGAAGGCUGGGCAGGCAGUCAGCAUCGGUGCAAACCUGCCUGGACCUCGGCACAGGCCCUGUUGAGCUCGCUUCUGCUCAGACACACGGUUUAUAGCCCCUCAUGGCUCCCUCCAUCCUGAGUGGGUCCCAACGUCACCAGACAGCGCGCAGUCCCCGCGGGCGCCUUCUGGUGUAUUCACUGAGUGCUCCGCCCGCCGCCAGGUGUGACGUCACGGCAGGUGAGGCUGCCCUCGCCCGCCUGCGAACCUGCCACCGCUUUGCAUCUGCCCACGCUUCUGCGGACGCUUCACCGCAGAAGACGUCCGCAGACGGGAGUCUCUUAUACUCAUCUUCACCCCCCGAGAAUCCGAAUCCCUGGAAAGGCUGAGGAUACCAGGUGAAGAACCCCUGUGCCAAAUGAAGAUCUGUUAGAAGGGCUACGGCGUAAGACCAACCUCCAGGAAGUUCAUGACGGUGAAGAACAAUAGCAGGAAGGCUGGUGCAAAGACGAGGCGGUCCAGGAGGAGCCGCUUGACCCCUGCCCAGGGGACCUCAGAAGGGAUCCAGUGCUCCAUGAAGAGGUAGAAGAAGUGACUCAGUGGCCCUGUGAAGAAGAACCUGAGGCCCCGCCAUUGGGGUGAGCUGGACUCAGUCCUCUGGAUGUGCCCUUCCAGGGUCCAGCUUCACCCCCAAGGUCCAAGUCUGAAACCCUGCCUUCCUGGAGUCCCUCAGCACUGACCACACAGGUCUACAUGCUCCUUCUAGAAAAUAUGCUUUCUUUGAAUCUGCUUCAAGCAUUUUUUUGCCUUUCACAGACCAGAUUUGUUCUUGCCUUGGGUUCCCUCAGUCUUCAUGUGACCAGCUCCUUCUCAAUCCUGUCAGCUUGGAGAAUUCUUUGCUGGUUGUCCUGGAUAAUCAACCCACCACUAUCCUAGCCACUCUCAGUUCCAAGUCUUGUUUCAUUUUCUUCAUAGCAUUUUUCACUACAUGUCAUAAUCUUAUUUGAGUAGUCAAAAAAUAUGCUCUCCUCAACCCCAAAAGGUAAAUGCCACAAGACAGGAUUGUGUCUGUCUGUUCACUGCUGUGACUGCAGGCCUAGAACAGGGCCUGGCUCAGAGAAGGUGCUCAACAGUAAACAAAUGGACACAUGUCUGGUGUUAGAGCUGCUCACCAAACUCCUUAGAUAAUUAGCAAGAGUGAAACCUAGUAGUGUGUGUCCAUAUUGGCACUUCCUACUAUUUGUUCCAAAGUAAACAGAGAACUUGGAAGGGAACUACAUCUGUUGGGACAACAGAUCUGCAGCUCCAGAAAAUUUGGCAUAAAAAGAUAGGCAGGAACCCAUAGAUCUUUCAAUUUCUGACACUGGAAGUCUUUAAACAAGGGGAAUCUCAGUACUCUUCCCCUUGCUGUAGAAGGUUCAGUGGCCUGGAGCAGGGGUUCCCAGUAGGAGGAGAAUGAAUGAAAAACUGCAAUUGGAUGAGGCUUCCCAGAUGAUGCCGAUAUGCAUCCCUCUCUAGGGGCUUACACUUUAAAUAUGUUACGGAAAAAGCUGUGAUCACUAUUGUUAACAUACAAAGACAAAAAUCUGUGAAUACUGAAUUGAAAAAAAAAAACUUUGUUGUAAAAGACUUAAAAAUAAUCCACCUAUGCAAAUACUGUCGUUUGACAGAGAACUCAGAGUGGAUUUAUUGAAAAAACUCCUAAAUCUCUACGCUUUUGCAAUUCAAAAAGUCAUUCAGAAAUGACAUUUUUCAGGAUACCUAUACACUAUGAAAAUAACAACAGAAACUGUCCAUAUUUAAGUAUGUUUUCCUCCUUCAGGCCUUUAAGUCUUGCAGCUUGAUUUCAGGUUCAGCUUAGUUAUUUGCCCUCUGGCUGCUCAACCCUUGCCCAAGCAAUUCAAAAUAAAAACCAUGUAAAACUAUAAAAUAGGCAAAAUUAACACUUAUCCACUGUUUUGAUUUUUCCCAAUGAUUUUUACAAUGCUUUAAUUUUUCCAAAUUAGAUUAUUCCAGACUCUUGGCCUUGACACCUUACUUUGUCACACUUAGUCUGCUGCUGGGUAAACCUUUACGGAACUCACCCAUAAAUGGCAUAUCUGAGUGGCUCGCUGACAUCUAGUUUUUGAAAGCAGUUUUCUUUUUUCCGUUUCUUCUCAAUCAUCUGGGCCAGGAAGUUCCCAAGUGCUGACAGAAUGCCACUGUGGACAGAGAGCUAAUCAGAAAACAGAAGCAAACAGCAAGAAGGUGUCCAUUCCUGAACAGAAUUAGCAUGGCUGUUCUGAGAUCAUGCUGAGGAUGGGUGGAAACGAAUCUUUAUUAAAGCAGUGCAAUGUAAGGUCCCUACCUCAAAAAGUGGAGACGGUAUAACUUAAUACACACACAGGAGCACAAUAAGAUUUCCAAUUGGUGCAUUUUAUCAGUGCCAAUGUCCUGAUCGUGACAUUGUACUAUGAUUUUGCAAAAGGUUACUAUGUGUGGGAGGGAGAUGUGUGAUUAUAAAUGGGCAACAGGAGGUACCCUCAUGAUGGAACUUUCCUGUUUUGACUGUGGUGGAUAUACAAACCUAUACACAAUGAAAUUGCAUAGAACUGUGCAUGCACACACAUGUAUGCAUGCUAGUACAAGCAAAGCUGGGGAGAUGUUAAUGUGAUCUGUGGACUGUAUCUACACCAGUGUCCUUGUUGUGAUAUUGUACUGUAGUUUUACAAAAUAUUACCAAUGGGAGAAACUGGGCAAAGUGUAAAAGGGGUCUGCCUGUGUUAUUUUUUACAACUGCAUGCUAAUCUACAAUUAUUGUCAUAAAAUUUCAAUAAAAAGGUGGAGACAGG
This is a long non-coding RNA of Manis pentadactyla (Chinese pangolin), 3152 nucleotides long. RefSeq lists it as uncharacterized. The transcript has 2 exons. The record is from RefSeq and is a predicted model, not a curated record. NCBI's taxonomy places the organism in Eukaryota, Metazoa, Chordata, Mammalia, Pholidota, Manidae.